This is a long non-coding RNA of Acyrthosiphon pisum (pea aphid), 855 nucleotides long. RefSeq lists it as uncharacterized. Lineage: Eukaryota; Metazoa; Arthropoda; Insecta; Hemiptera; Aphididae. The transcript has 3 exons. The record is from RefSeq and is a predicted model, not a curated record.
UAUAAUAACUAAUAUAAUAUCAUAAAUCACCCUUAUUAUUUUGAAGAUUGAAUCAUGUUUUCCUUUCCAAACAGAGUUAUUGUAGUUGUACCAAUAGAUUAUCAGAAUUUAAAAUAAUAUUUAAUUUAAUACUUAUUUUAAAUAAUAAAUACAUUUUUAAUUGAUUUAUAUUAUAUAAUUAUAAUUAUGGUUAUAGAUGAGAGAGUAGAUGAGUGACUCUGAGGCCGAGACUGCCUCAAAAGAGACUACCCGGAUGUACAAUGAUGACUAGAAUUAUCUCAUUUGCCUUUAUAUCAGAAUUAUCAAGAUCUGAUAAAUUAUUCUCCUGAAGCUGCUCGUCAAAUAAGGCAGGCGAGUAUAACAUUUGAUUCCACGACAGAAGAUAUAUCUGUGGAUUUUGUGCUUGUUUCUUCAUCCAAAGCCAAAACACCAAUGGAGAUGGUUGGCACCGUAGUUCUGCUUUUGAGAAAAGAAUUAAAGUACAAGGAUUAAUUGUUGAAGAAGAUCUUGUGAAGAUCUUGUUGGUGGUUUGACAUUUGUCAAAAUGCAUGCAUCUAGCUAAUAGCUAUAUCAGUGUUACGUAGAUGUUGUGGAGUAUUAAAACUGUAAAUGCCCAUGAAAGAGAGAGGCUACAAGUAACAGAUUGGAAAGAAAGGAUACAGGAUCGCGAAUAUUGGAGAUCAGUGACGGUGGCAGCCAAAACUUUUGCAGAGUUGUAAAGGCACAUAAGAUGGAGAAGCUAGUGACCAAAUAUUAGAUAUUCUACCGCAUUUAAUCAAUGGUAUUACACAGGGUGUAACAAUAAGAAGACCAGAAAAAAAAAUUAUGUUAUUUAAACGUUUGACAACAUUUGUU